GGUUCCGUGGUUUAGUUGGUCAUAACGUCUGCUUAACACGCAUAAGGUCCCCAGUUCGAACCUGGGCGGAAUCA
Molecule: transfer RNA, 74 nt
Filed under: Yamadazyma jaroonii
Lineage: Eukaryota; Fungi; Ascomycota; Pichiomycetes; Serinales; Debaryomycetaceae
Description: [Candida] jaroonii transfer RNA-Val(AAC)
Source: RNAcentral